GGUUGUCGUCAGCUCGUGUCGUGAGAUGUGGUAGUCCGCACGAGCGCAACCCCUAUUGUUAGUUGCCAUCAUUCAGUUGGGCACUCUAGCGAGACUGCCGGUAAUAAACCGGAGGAAGGUGGGGAUGACGUCAAAUCAUCAUGCCCCUUAUGACCUGGGCUACACACGUGCUACAAUGGUUGGUACAACGAGUUGCGAGUCGGUGACGGCGAGCUAAUCUCUUAAAGCCAAUCUCAGUUCGGAUUGUAGGCUGCAACUCGCCUACAUGAAGUCGGAAUCGCUAGUAAUCGCGGAUCAGCACGCCGCGGUCGAAUACGUUCCCGGGCCUU
Molecule: ribosomal RNA, 329 nt
Filed under: uncultured Streptococcus sp.
Lineage: Bacteria; Bacillati; Bacillota; Bacilli; Lactobacillales; Streptococcaceae
Description: bacterial SSU rRNA
Rfam family: Bacterial small subunit ribosomal RNA
Source: RNAcentral